CACGGGGGGAGCAAGCGUUGUUCGGAAUCACUGGGCGUAAAGGGCGUGUAGGCGGUCAAGUAAGUGGAAUGUGAAAUGCCUCGGCUCACCCGGGGACCUGCAUCCCAAACUGCUUGGCUUGAGUAUGGGAGAGGAUGAGGGAAUUCCUGGUGUAGCGGUGAAAUGCGUAGAUAUCAGGAGGAACACCGGUGGCGAAGGCGCUCAUCUGGCCCAAUACUGACGCUGAGGCGCGAAAGCUAGGGGAGCAAACGGG
Molecule: ribosomal RNA, 253 nt
Filed under: uncultured bacterium
Lineage: Bacteria
Description: partial 16S ribosomal RNA
Rfam family: Bacterial small subunit ribosomal RNA
Source: RNAcentral